AUUGACCACACACAAAGAACCCAUGCUUCCUCUCUUCUCUUGCCCAGAGUGGAUAAGGAUGGGUUGGUUUGUAUUUGAAUUCAAAUUCGAUUUGAAUUUAAGUGAGCAACCACCUAUCUUUAUCCUCUCACGCGGAUAAGACACGUCUUGCACUGUUUUAAAAGAGAAGAGAAGGUGGGGCAUGCAUAGAAUUUUUUUGAGAGAGAAUAGUGGGUGUGAGGAAGCCUUGUGCAUGAGUUGGAAGUUCAAAAACUUUCGAGAGAAAAGAAAAGAAAAGAAAGAAAAGUGGGCGC
This 293-nucleotide long non-coding RNA is filed under the name Elaeis guineensis (African oil palm). Its description in RNAcentral is "long non-coding RNA (EGUI_LNC037125)". The record is from RNAcentral. Lineage: Eukaryota; Viridiplantae; Streptophyta; Magnoliopsida; Arecales; Arecaceae.